GACGGAGGUGGCAAGCGUUGUUCGGAAUUACUGGGCGUAAAGGGCGCGUAGGCGGCCCUCUAAGUCAGACGUGAAAUCCCCCGGCUUAACCUGGGAACUGCGUCUGAUACUGGGGGGCUAGAGUUUGGGAGAGGGAUGUAGAAUUCCAGGUGUAGCGGUGAAAUGCGUAGAUAUCUGGAGGAAUACCGGUGGCGAAGGCGGCAUCCUGGACCAAUACUGACGCUGAUGCGCGAAAGCUAGGGGAGCAAACGGG
Molecule: ribosomal RNA, 253 nt
Filed under: uncultured bacterium
Lineage: Bacteria
Description: partial 16S ribosomal RNA
Rfam family: Bacterial small subunit ribosomal RNA
Source: RNAcentral